AAUAAACGCUGGCGGCGUGCUUAACACAUGCAAGUCGAACGGUAAGGCCUUCGGGUACACGAGUGGCGAACGGGUGAGUAACACGUGGGUGAUCUGCCCCCUACUCUGGGAUAAGCCUGGGAAACUGGGUCUAAUACCGGAUAUGACCUCCUUCUGCAUGGUUGGUGGUGGAAAGUUUUUUCGGUAGGGGAUGAGCCCGCGGCCUAUCAGCUUGUUGGUGGGGUAAUGGCCUACCAAGGCGACGACGGGUAGCCGGCCUGAGAGGGCGGCCGGCAGCCCUGGGACUGAGACACGGCCCAGACUCCUACGGGAGGCAGCAGUGGGGAAUAUUGCACAAUGGGCGAAAGCCUGAUGCAGCGACGCCGCGUGGGGGAUGACGGCCUUCGGGUUGUAAACCCCUUUCAGUCGGGACGAAGCGAGAGUGACGGUACCGAUAGAAGAAGCACCGGCCAACUACGUGCCAGCAGCCGCCGUAA
This 476-nucleotide ribosomal RNA is filed under the name uncultured bacterium. RNAcentral describes it as "partial 16S ribosomal RNA". It matches the Rfam family "Bacterial small subunit ribosomal RNA", at positions 28 to 523 of the family's 1533-position model. The record is from RNAcentral.